CGGUAAUACGUAGGUGGCAAGCGUUGUCCCGGAUUUAUUGGGCGUAAAGCGAGCGCAGGCGGUUUUUUAAGUCUGAUGUGAAAGCCUUCGGCUCAACCGAAGAAGUGCAUCGGAAACUGGGAAACUUGAGUGCAGAAGAGGACAGUGGAACUCCAUGUGUAGCGGUGAAAUGCGUAGAUAUAUGGAAGAACACCAGUGGCGAAGGCGGCUGUCUGGUCUGUAACUGACGCUGAGGCUCGAAAGUAUGGGUAGCAAACAGGAUUAGAUACCCUGGUAGUCCAUACCGUAAACGAUGAAUGCUAAGUGUUGGAGGGUUUCCGCCCUUCAGUGCUGCAGCUAACGCAUUAAGCAUUCCGCCUGGGGAGUACGGCCGCAAGGCUGAAACUCAAAGGAAUUGACGGGGGCCCGCACAAGCGGUGGAGCAUGUGGUUUAAUUCGAAGCUACGCGAAGAACCUUACCAGGUCUUGACAUACUAUGCAAAUCUAAGAGAUUAGACGUUCCCUUCGGGGACAUGGAUACAGGUGGUGCAUGGUUGUCGUCAGCUCGUGUCGUGAGAUGUUGGGUUAAGUCCCGCAACGAGCGCAACCCUUAUUAUCAGUUGCCAGCAUUAAGUUGGGCACUCUGGUGAGACUGCCGGUGACAAACCGGAGGAAGGUGGGGAUGACGUCAAAUCAUCAUGCCCCUUAUGACCUGGGCUACACACGUGCUACAAUGGAUGGUACAACGAGUUGCGAACUCGCGAGAGUAAGCUAAUCUCUUAAAGCCAUUCUCAGUUCGGAUUGUAGGCUGCAACUCGCCUACAUGAAGUCGGAAUCGCUAGUAAUCGCGGAUCAGCAUGCCGCGGUGAAUACGUUCCCGGGCCUUGUACACACCGCCCGUCACACCAUGAGAGUUUGUAACACCCAAAGUCGGUGGGGUAACC
RNAcentral lists this ribosomal RNA (923 nucleotides) under Lactiplantibacillus pentosus. Its description in RNAcentral is "bacterial SSU rRNA". It matches the Rfam family "Bacterial small subunit ribosomal RNA", at positions 518 to 1440 of the family's 1533-position model. The record is from RNAcentral. Lineage: Bacteria; Bacillati; Bacillota; Bacilli; Lactobacillales; Lactobacillaceae.